Molecule: ribosomal RNA, 253 nt
Filed under: uncultured bacterium
Lineage: Bacteria
Description: partial 16S ribosomal RNA
Rfam family: Bacterial small subunit ribosomal RNA
Source: RNAcentral
UACGAAGGGUGCAAGCGUUACUCGGAAUUAUUGGGCGUAAAGGGUGCGUAGGCGGCGCGGUAAGUCGGGUGUGAAAUCUCGGAGCUUAACUCCGAAACUGCAUUCGAUACUGCCGUGCUUGAGGACUGGAGAGGAGACUGGAAUUUACGGUGUAGCGGUGAAAUGCGUAGAUAUCGUAAGGAAGACCAGUGGCGAAGGCGGGUCUCUGGACAGUUCCUGACGCUGAGGCACGAAGGUCAAGGGAGCAAACGGG